This 74-nucleotide transfer RNA is filed under the name Ovis aries (sheep). It matches the Rfam family "tRNA". From Rfam's summary of the family: Transfer RNA (tRNA) molecules are approximately 80 nucleotides in length. Their secondary structure includes four short double-helical elements and three loops (D, anti-codon, and T loops). Lineage: Eukaryota; Metazoa; Chordata; Mammalia; Artiodactyla; Bovidae. The record is from Rfam by way of RNAcentral.
GGGCCAGUGGCACAACGGGUAAUGUAUCUGACCACCAAUCAGAAGAUUUCCAAGUUCAACUCCUGGGUGGCUCA